This 254-nucleotide ribosomal RNA is filed under the name uncultured bacterium. RNAcentral describes it as "partial 16S ribosomal RNA". It matches the Rfam family "Bacterial small subunit ribosomal RNA", at positions 524 to 776 of the family's 1533-position model. The record is from RNAcentral.
UACGUAGGGUCCGAGCGUUGUCCGGAUUUAUUGGGCGUAAAGAGCUCGUAGGCGGCUCAGUUAGUCGGAUGUGAAAACUCGGGGCUCAACCCCGAGACGCCAUCCGAUACUGCUGUGGCUUGAAUCUGGUAGGGGAGCACGGAAUUCCUGGUGUAGCGGUGAAAUGCGCAGAUAUCAGGAGGAACACCGGUGGCGAAGGCGGUGCUCUGGGCCAGUAUUGACGCUGAGGAGCGAAAGCGUGGGUAGCAAACAGG